UAGUGUCCAGUGUAGAAGCCCAAGUAUGAGGACUUCAGUAAAGAAAGUCACUGAGAAGAGCCGGCCACACCAAAAAGAAAAGAAAUAGAAGUAAUUGCAAAAUGAGAGACUGCCACAGCAACAAAGACCUCAGUAAGUGAGCGACGAUAUGGGACAAGAAAUGAGUCAAUAUUAAUGGUGUGUUGAAGGCCUCAAGAAGGCACUUAAGGUAUGAGGGUUAGGCUCAAAACACAGGAUUUGUUAAAGUUCUUUGUCUUUAUUAAGGAAAUUUGUCCCU
Non-coding RNA from Mesocricetus auratus (golden hamster), 277 nucleotides. Lineage: Eukaryota; Metazoa; Chordata; Mammalia; Rodentia; Cricetidae. The record is from Rfam.